UUUCACAGUUUUUCAUAAAUAUUAAUAUUAAAACUGCCUACUACUUAAUGGCUGACAUCAAUAACCUCUUACUGAGUGAUACACAGGGUAGGUCUAAACAAAUUCAAAAUACAUAUUCUCAAAGAACCUGGGGAUAAGAUCAAGUUGUGGCAGCCGCCUUGUGGGAUUGUCCAUAGAAAUCUUUUCUUCUGCUCUAUACAUGGAACAUGGCAUUCAAACAGCAAUGGGGAGAAGACUUCAGUACAAAGAAAAAUUAUUCUUGCACAUCCUUUGUGAGAAAUCUAAACCAACUUAAAUUAUUUUUAAAUUUCUAAAUUGUCAACUCAAACGUUAAUGUGCGUGUUUUACCUAAAAAUGUAAAAACAUGAAGAAGCCUGCUUGAGGAAAGCUUUCUCUUAAAUAUAUGUAUAUGAGGAGCCUUAAAUCCCUUAUAUCUGUAGGGAACCAAACAAACAAUUAUGUGUAAUGGUGCGAGAACAGAUAUUCGAAACACAAAAUAGGUUUGUAUCUAAUCGAGAAAGAAAAAACGCUGUGCACUCGCUGUGCACCGAAACGCGCGUCGGGCAACGUUUGAUCUUCACAGGGCACCUUUACAUGCACUCACGUUGGUGUAAUUUAUCAUGCAUAUUUUAACAUGAUAUAAUGGAUUAACACGUUAAUUUUUCUUUCACUCUAUUUCCAAUCUCUGACUAUUUACUUAGUUUACCAGGGAGAGAGGCUUUUCUUUAUCUAUGCUUCACUAUCUCUAAGCAUGUAAGAAUACAGUACUACAGGAGAUUUCUAUUAUAAAAUGUACCUUGCUCUGCCUAAAUUCACACAUUGAUGCUAGUAAUUACAACUGAUGAGGAAAUGUUUAAACUUAUGAGCAAAUGUUUGAAUUAAUUGGCUUUAAGGUGACUAUUUACUGACUCCACAUAUUGGAGUGACUACUCAUAAUAGCAAGUACUGGAAACCAAUCUCCUUAACAUUUUUUCUAACAGCACAACAUUCUGGACUAUCAACUAACACACGACUCUUUUUAGGAUCCCUCCAACUUCUG
Molecule: non-coding RNA, 1039 nt
Organism: Pelobates cultripes (western spadefoot toad)
Lineage: Eukaryota; Metazoa; Chordata; Amphibia; Anura; Pelobatidae
Source: the annotation of a GenBank genome assembly